AUGCAGACCGCAGGACGCCUGCAGCUUCCUCAGUGCCAAUUACGGAGAAAUAAUUCAGCGUGCUCACCCCCUGCCUCUCAGCAGACACUCUUUGGGGACAUUUUAAAUCUGACUGUACCUGCUGAGCAGCUGACAAGUGAAGCCUUCCCUCCCGACUGCCUGCCUGCUGUCUCUUCCACCUCUCUGCCCAGGCUCUUUCCUGGGGAAGAGAGGACCUCAAGCUGGGGGUGGUCAGCCCUGCCCCCAGAGCAGGGCCUGCUCCCAUCAGCGCACAUUGCUGCCCCCGGGCUCUGCCUCAAGAUAAGCUCCAGGAUAAGAGCCGGCCUGGGAUCGGUGUCAGCUGCCGGGUCCGAGGGCUAAGCCGGGCUCAGGCGCAGGAAGACCAGGAGGACAAGUGCUGCACGAGCCCCGGUUCACGGUCUCUGAAAGAGCCAGGGAUGGGCGCCCUGCACAACCAGGAACAGACCCCAAAGCUGGCCUCUCCCGCUCUGCCGGCCUUCCCAGUCUAAACAGGUAAGUCCUAAGUUCCUCCCACAGGCAAGCAGCUGCUGUCAUCUGCAUGGUUGGCCUCGCAGGUCCCCUUGGGGCAGGAAUUGUCUUUGUUUAGGAAAAUUCUUUUUCCUUUUUUAGGGCCACUCCCGCGGCACAUGGAGGUUCCCAGGCUAGAGGUCGAAUCGAAGCAGCAGCUGCUGGCCUACACCACAGCCACGGCAACGCGGGAUCUUUAACCCAGUGCGGGAAGCCAGGGGUCAAACCUGCAUCCUCAUAGAUACUAGUUGGGUUCUUAACCCACUGAGCCACAGCAGGAACUCCUAGGAAAAUACUUUUCAAGGCUGAUUGUGGAUGAUCCAGAGAACACAGUCUAACCAGAGGCCAAGGCCACAAAAGAGACAGAAAUGAAUAGGAAUUUAGAGGAAGGAAGACAGGUCAGACCGUGACACCAGAGAGACGGGGUGAGGCGGGCGGUCCCUGAGAGAAGCCACCCCUGCCCCUCCGUGGCCACACAUCCCACGGGGGUCCGGAGGACUGGCCUGUCUUGUUCCCUGUGAUGCUCUUUGCGCCAGAGGGAUGUAAGCAGCUCCUACCCUACCCUCCACCACCACGGCGUUGCCUGCGCACACACACACACACACACACACACAUGCACACACCUUGUGGAGGUGGACGUGGGGGAAGAGGGGCCGAACGGCACAGCUGAGUCUCUGUGGUUCGGAAUCUCAGGUAUGGAAGCGAUAUUCACCCCCCCAACAUGGAGUCAGCUCAGCCAAAGCAGGUCCCCUGAGCCAGAGAGGCAGCUCUCCAGGGCUUUGCAGAAACCUCAGCAAAGACCUCAGCCUUUCCCAGGACACCUCAGUGGACU
Molecule: long non-coding RNA, 1360 nt
Filed under: Sus scrofa (pig)
Lineage: Eukaryota; Metazoa; Chordata; Mammalia; Artiodactyla; Suidae
Description: lncRNA (ENSSSCG00040016378.1)
Source: RNAcentral